UACGGAGGAUGCGAGCGAUAUCCGGAUUUAUUGGGUUUAAAGGGUGCGUAGGCGGACUGUUAAGUCAGCGGUAAAAUACGGGGGCUCAACCUCCGCCCGCCGUUGAAACUGACGGUCUUGAGUGGGCGAGAAGUAUGCGGAAUGCGUGGUGUAGCGGUGAAAUGCAUAGAUAUCACGCAGAACCCCGAUUGCGAAGGCAGCAUGCCGGCUUCCGACUGACGCUGAAGCACGAAAGCGUGGGGAUCGAACAGG
This 252-nucleotide ribosomal RNA is filed under the name uncultured Bacteroidales bacterium. RNAcentral's name for it is "partial 16S ribosomal RNA". It matches the Rfam family "Bacterial small subunit ribosomal RNA", at positions 524 to 776 of the family's 1533-position model. The record is from RNAcentral. Lineage: Bacteria; Pseudomonadati; Bacteroidota; Bacteroidia; Bacteroidales.